This is a non-coding RNA of Lactuca sativa (garden lettuce), 2678 nucleotides long. The record is from RefSeq and is a predicted model, not a curated record. Lineage: Eukaryota; Viridiplantae; Streptophyta; Magnoliopsida; Asterales; Asteraceae.
GCCUCAAUUUCUUUUAAAAAAAGAUAAAACUGUCUCUCUUUCUAUUUUCCGGAUCCUUCUCCACACCUCCUUUACCUGUUGCUGCCCACCGCCUUUAUUUUGGUUCGGUCUAUUUCACCUUAGUGGGUUUGAGGCUUUGAUAUUCCUUCACCGGCGACCUCUCUCACCAUCGUUGUACUUUCGUUUACUCCUUACCGUCGGCAGCUGUUGUCCACCGCCAUGUCUCCCGCCCAGGAUCCGACGCGGGUCUCACCUCUCUUUCUCAAUACCCACACAUCUUCUCCGUCAAAGUAUGUCCGAAAUCCGAAAUUUGAGACGACUUUUUCUUUAAUGGUCUCCCACCUACAUUCUCCGAUUCUUUCUUUGUUGCCCUCCUGAUCUUCAUCUUCUCUGUCUCUCGGUAAACCCUUAAAGCCACCUCACCCGUCCAUUAACCCUAGGACCCUUCAUAUUAGACACGGAGAAAAAUCAGCAGCGUCGGUAGCACCAGUCGUAACCAUCACCACCACAACUCAUCAGCAAGUUCAGUAAUUCAUCACCUUCUUGUGAUUUUUUAUUUUAUUUUUUUUAUUAUUAUUUUAUUUUGAUUUCUUUCAGUUGAGGCCGAAUCCUGUUUCUUAUAAGAUUCAGGCUCUAGAGGCUUUUGCAUCUUCGCUUCGGCUAAGACAUAGGAUACCCUACAGCUUUGCUUGCUACACAUCCAUUGCUUUCAACAGCUCUCUCUACCCUAACUUCUUACGUGCUUUCAGAGGCAGCUGUGAGUGGUAAUGUUGGAAAUCAGGCCCUCUUUUGUCAACUGCAAAACAAAGAUUCGGCCUUCUUUUGUUACGUGAGGAAUAUGUUGAAGAAGAAGAAAUAAUUGUGACUCAAACGGCUGCUCAUCUUAUUCAGAAGAUAAAAAGCUUUUUAUAGCCUACAUACCCUAAUGAAACCUAAACAAACUAAACUCAACUAAAGGAGAACAAGCCCACGUUUUUCCCCUUUUCCAGCUCCUAAUACUUGGUCCAUAUGACCCAUUCAAUUGAAGACCCAAAGUAUUCAUUUUACUAAAUAACAAAGACUAACAUACUAAUUAAAUAAACCUGUCAAGAUUAAAUAAAACCGAACAGGUAAUAUAUAUUAUUUGUUGUGAUCAGUUGUUAAUUUAUAAUGUAAUUUCAUUGUUCCCUAUUGUCUAUAUGCAGUGAUUUCUGAAUUGAUACUCACAACUUACAUAUUCUUCAAACGUAAUUUUUCCAAACUCUUUUAGUUUCAGUUUAACAUACAAGCUGAUGGAUCUUUUUAGAAGCUUCUGUUUUCAAUAUAAAUAAAAGAGAUACCACUGUGUAUUCAACCUGUAUGUUGCUUUAUUUUAGGGUUUUAUGAGGUUCAGUAAAAUUUGUUAGUAUAUAGUUGUUCUGCUGUAACUAUGCUGAAUUUGGAAUGUAAUGUGAUUAAUAAUUGAGAAAAUUUGUUAGUAUAUAGUUGUUCUGUUGUGGGGUCGUUUUGGAACAUACUAGAGCCUUUGUUGAGAGUGACAAUUGUUUCACUUGGAGGUCACAAAGAUGACAUAUGCUUAAGUUGAUGUUUAUGGGUUUAGUUAGAAAGUUGGUCUGCUGCCAAUCACUCAAAUGGAAGAUAGAAUGGAAAUAAGCAAGUUGUACAACAGCAAAACAGGGGAAAUCAUGAUACAGAGGUCAGGGAGUGAGUAAACAAGGCCUAUGAACGCGCAGUCUCACUUGUGGAAGAACCUAUACACAACAUGAGCCCGUUACUGGUCACGCGAAUGGACUCAGCGAGUCAAUCGAUUCGUGUCCUCAAAGUAAAUAUUUAAAAUAAGUUCACACUAGAGAGUCAUCAUGUGGAACGAAUUCAAACAAGGAUAAAACAGAUGGGGGAAAAUGGUCCUGUGGGGGCCACAACGCCCCUUCAGAGUCCAAAUUCUUCAAUUCCAUCAACUCCCCGAAGAGGAAGAAAAGUACCCAAUUCCACACCCGUGGAACAUGACAAGUGACGGGAUCCAAAAGAGUUGACCGAGCAAGAAGUCAACUUACAACAUGGAAGGAGCCUUUAUAGCUAGGGGUACAACUUGGAAAGAUAGACAUUGCGGCUUGGGCAAAUAAAGAGGACACGAACAAGAAAGCGAUGGAGGGCGAAACGAACAUUUUGGCCGAGGAGGCGUUUAGAGUUGAGUUUGAGAAACGGGUGGUUAGGUGAGAAGAUGCCGAGAAUCUAAAUUUAAUGCAAGAUUUAUACACAAAGUGAUUAAAAUUCAAGCGAUUUAUACACAAAGUGAUUAAAAUUCAAGCAUGGGAAAGACACCGGAAAGCAAAACUUGUAGCAUAAAUGAGAAGAAUAGAGGUUAAAGUGGAAUAAAAGAGGGCACAUGCACAAGCAAAAAUGUUGAAGAAGGUUGCAAUGUCGAGUCAGAAAUCGGAAAGGAAAAGGGCGACAGCGGAAGCCGAAAAGAGCUGGCAGGCGGCACGGGUGGCGGCAAAGGCGGAAUACGAUUCCACCAUCAUCAACGCACAACUGCGUGGUUAACCACCAGCACAGAUACUCUGUGAGAAAAUAAUGUCAAUGGAGAUGUUGUUCCAGAUUCCACACAGUCAAUUCCACUCCAAUCUUAUGUAUAGAAUUAAAUUACAUUGCAAUCCAUAAAAUCCUUUCUAUCAAUUUAAACAUUAAAAUUAUUCAAA